GUAGGUGGGAUAUUGAGAUGACUCUCAAUGUUAGAUAGGCGAACAUCAAUUUCAUGAAAUUGAUCAACCACUUAAUCUUCAUGAGAUUGCUGCCACUCAUAAAUUUGAUCAAAGUAAGUUCUUUGGGCAAGACUUACAUCCUCCAGUUAUCACAAAAGUUCUCAAUCAAAAGCUUUACCCCCUCUUUUCAAAAAAUCAUCUAAAGUUUAUGCUCCCCAUAAAAUAGGUAAAUUAAAAAGGAUUUAAGUCCCUUAAAAGUACUCCCCCUAAAUGUAAUAAUCCCUUUUGAUAAAACAGAAAAAAAAAAUUUAAAAAAGUUUUUUUUUUAUUUACGUUGAUAAUCGGUUAUUACUUUAAAUAAUCGAUUAUUUGUGUUCAAAAUUGUCAAAAUCUAAAUUUUUAGGCUGAGAUAAUCGAUUAUGACCCUUUGGUAAUCGAUUAUUGACGUUAAUUUCCGAAAAACAGAGAUUUGAGCCAAAUUUUCAACCUAAAGCUCAUAUAACAUUCAUAAAAUGUCCAGAUAUCUAACAACCUUAUAUAUCUCUCCCUCAAAUGGGUACCAGGUAUCAUAAUAU
Molecule: long non-coding RNA, 575 nt
Filed under: Vigna radiata
Lineage: Eukaryota; Viridiplantae; Streptophyta; Magnoliopsida; Fabales; Fabaceae
Description: long non-coding RNA (VRAD_LNC013742)
Source: RNAcentral